This 678-nucleotide ribosomal RNA is filed under the name uncultured archaeon. RNAcentral's name for it is "bacterial SSU rRNA". It matches the Rfam family "Archaeal small subunit ribosomal RNA", at positions 181 to 859 of the family's 1478-position model. The record is from RNAcentral.
UUUUGUUUAAAUGUUUUUUCGCCUAAGGAUGGGUCUGCGGCCGAUUAGGUAGUUGGUUAGGUAAUGGCUUACCAAGCCAUUGAUCGGUACGGGUUGUGAGAGCAAGAGCCCGGAGAUGGAACCUGAGACAAGGUUCCAGGCCCUACGGGGUGCAGCAGGCGCGAAACCUCCGCAAUGUGAGAAAUCGCGACGGGGGGAUCCCAAGUGCCAUUCUUAACGGGAUGGCUUUUCAUUAGUGUACAGAGCUUUUGGAAUAAGAGCUGGGCAAGACCGGUGCCAGCCGCCGCGGUAACACCGGCAGCUCUAGUGGUAACAAUUUUUAUUGGGCCUAAAGCGUCCGUAGCCGGUUUAAUAAGUCUCUGGUGAAAUCCUGUAGCUUAACUGUGGGAAUUGCUGGAGAUACUAUUAGACUUGGGACCGGGAGAGGUUAGAGGUACUCCCAGGGUAGAGGUGAAAUUCUGUAAUCCUGGGAGGACCGCCUGUUGCGAAGGCGUCUAACUGGAACGGUUCUGACGGUGAGGGACGAAAGUUAGGGGCGCGAACCGGAUUAGAUACCCGGGUAGUCCUAACUGUAAACGAUGCGGACUUGGUGUUGGGGUGGCUUUGAGCUGCUCCAGUGCCGAAGGGAAGCUGUUAAGUCCGCCGCCUGGGAAGUACGGUCGCAAGACUGAAACUUAA